This 1355-nucleotide long non-coding RNA is filed under the name Phoenix dactylifera (date palm). Its description in RNAcentral is "long non-coding RNA (PDAC_LNC011162)". Lineage: Eukaryota; Viridiplantae; Streptophyta; Magnoliopsida; Arecales; Arecaceae. The record is from RNAcentral.
UGAGUCUUCUUCUUGAGCAUUACAUAGUCAUGCUAUUUUGCUUUCGGUUAGUUGGUGGGGAGGGGCCCAGGGGGUUGUGUAGAAAAAUUGAGGUUCAAUGUUUUGGUAAAGUUUUCUCAUUUCUAAUCUUUUUAAUAGUUAGUUAUGAUCAUAUUGUAGAUGUUUUAUAAUAAAAAAGAUAUCAUUUUACCUCUAAAGUGCACUUUCCACUUGCUGUUUUACCAGUAAAAUGGAUAAAGCAAUCAUUAUAUCAUAGAGGUUUACAUUGUCGUGGUGUUAUUGUACUUGGUGCUCAUUAAUUGUUUGACUAUUUUAUGCCACAUCAAAGAUGAACACUAGAACUGGUUUCUUAAGAAUACCAAUUCUUUCGGACCGAAGCGCGCUCAAUGGCUUUUAAACUUAUCUAAUAAAUCCUUCACCUAAAAUAAUUUGCUUAAAGUCCAUAUAUUUUACAAUGUAAUUAAUUCAAAAUAACAUAAUAUAUCAUUGUGCUAAAUUUAGCCAUGACAUGGUAAGUCGGAAUUGGUGCCAUAUACGGGUGGUUGGCAAUGUUAGUUUGAUCCCCCUAUUAAUCAUUGGUUUCCACACCCAUGGUGAACUAAGUGGUGAUGAGUAAUGGGUAAUUUUUAGCAUUUUUUUAUUAAAUAUAGUCUCGACAAAUUUAUAUGUAAUGACAAACACAUGUAAUUUUCACUGAAAAACAAUUUAUCAUAAUUAAAUCUCAUGGAAAAUAGUAAACUAAUAAAAAAUUAUGUUAAAUACACCUAAUAAAUUAAUAUCUCAUUUGUAUUCGGGUUUUAGAUUUAUGCUUAGAAUUUUAUUUUAUUUUCCUGUUACAAUAAGUAAAUUUUUCAUUGGUAUGCUUUAAUAUUUUUAUUUUCUAUUUACUUUCCUUGUUGAAUUCAGUUUUGUAAUUUUUAUGUUUAUAUUAUCUCUUUCUAUUAUCUAUUCUAUUCUCUUUUUAGGGGUUUAGGGGUUUAGGAUUUUAGCACUGAUCUUGCCAUAAGAAAGAAUAAGAUAUACUGAAAAACCUGAUAUGUCGGAAUAGCAAAAUAUACACAAUCAUAACUCAUAAUCUUCAAUAGAACACUAAUAUUCAUGUGAGAAACCCCAGAUGCAUCUUGAACUGAAAUAGUUGGAUGAGGCCCCACCAAAAGAUUGCUCCAACAGAUUAGUUAUUGCAGAAAAUACUCAAAAAAUCACAAAAUGUGAAAAUAUCUUAUAGAAAAUGCCCAUUCUCAAGAACAACAUUUGCAACUCUAAAGAACAAAUAAGCAUUUGCAUGUUGCUGAAAAAAACCAAAGAAAUAGCACAUGGUAAAUAAGGAGUCAGACAAUCAAAAUAAUAUCUGCAUG